Molecule: unclassified non-coding RNA, 307 nt
Filed under: uncultured Hypocreales
Lineage: Eukaryota; Fungi; Ascomycota; Sordariomycetes; Hypocreales
Description: sequence contains ITS1
Rfam family: 5.8S ribosomal RNA (bases 1-105)
Source: RNAcentral
GAAAUGCGAUAAGUAAUGUGAAUUGCAGAAUUCAGUGAAUCAUCGAAUCUUUGAACGCACAUUGCGCCCGCCAGCAUUCUGGCGGGCAUGCCUGCCCGAGCGUCAUUUCGACCCUCAGGCCGCCCCCGCGCGGCCUGGUGUUGGGUGCCGGCCGCCUGCGCCGCCCCCGAAAUACAGUGGCGACCACGCCGCGUCCUCCCCUGCGCAGUAGCACAUCUCGCACCGGAGCGCGGACGUCGGUCACGCCGUAAAACGCCCCAAUCCAAGAGUUGACCUCGGAUCAGGUAGGGAUACCCGCUGAACUUAA